Molecule: ribosomal RNA, 378 nt
Filed under: uncultured bacterium
Lineage: Bacteria
Description: bacterial SSU rRNA
Rfam family: Bacterial small subunit ribosomal RNA
Source: RNAcentral
AAACGUAGGGGGCGAGCGUUGUCCGGAAUUACUGGGCGUAAAGGGCGUGUAGGCGGUUUAAUAAGUCUCGAGGUGAAAACUAUCGGCUCAACCGGUAGCGUGCCUGAGAAACUGUUAGACUUGAGGGCAGGAGAGGGGAGUGGAAUUCCCAGUGUAGCGGUGAAAUGCGUAGAUAUUGGGAGGAACACCAGUGGCGAAGGCGGCUCUCUGGCCUGUUACUGACGCUGAGGCGCGAAAGCGUGGGUAGCGAACGGGAUUAGAUACCCCGGUAGUCCACGCCGUAAACGAUGGGUGCUAGGUGUAGGAGGUAUCGACCCCUUCUGUGCCGUAGUAAACACAAUAAGCACCCCGCCUGGGGAGUACGGCCGCAAGGUUGAA